UUGUCCGUCUUUGGGGAGUAGCCGGCUUCCAGCCAUUGGAAGCGCUCAUGUCAACACGCUUGGUUCUCUGGACCAUGGCAUGAGCAACCGAAAUGUAUUCUGGUUGGCAAGACCAUCGAUGUAACGCCGCGACCGGUCGGGCUCGGCGUCACAUCGCAU
Molecule: non-coding RNA, 159 nt
Filed under: Burkholderia sp.
Lineage: Bacteria; Pseudomonadati; Pseudomonadota; Betaproteobacteria; Burkholderiales; Burkholderiaceae
Description: Manganese sequence
Rfam family: Manganese Mn2+ riboswitch aptamer (yybP-ykoY) (bases 1-105)
About the family: This RNA was originally discovered in E. coli during a large scale screen and was named SraF. The family was later found to exist upstream of related families of protein genes in many bacteria, including the the yybP and ykoK genes in B. subtilis. The specific functions of these proteins are unknown, but this structured RNA element may be involved in their genetic regulation as a riboswitch.
Source: RNAcentral